This 246-nucleotide unclassified non-coding RNA is filed under the name uncultured fungus. RNAcentral describes it as "sequence contains ITS1, 5.8S rRNA gene". The stretch from base 198 to 246 matches the Rfam family "5.8S ribosomal RNA", at positions 1 to 49 of the family's 154-position model. Lineage: Eukaryota; Fungi. The record is from RNAcentral.
UCUCCGUUGGUGAACCAGCGGAGGGAUCAUUAUAGAGUUUUCUAAACUCCCAACCCUUUGUGAACUUACCUUUGUUGCCUCGGCGGGGCCUACCCGGUACCGACCCCUUUUGGGCGAAGUUACCCUGUAGCCCGCCGGUGGCCCAACUAAACUCUUGUAUUAUUUGUUAUCUGAGAGUUAUUUUUAAAAUAAGUCAAAACUUUCAACAACGGAUCUCUUGGUUCUGGCAUCGAUGAAGAACGCAGC